Molecule: ribosomal RNA, 403 nt
Filed under: uncultured bacterium
Lineage: Bacteria
Description: bacterial SSU rRNA
Rfam family: Bacterial small subunit ribosomal RNA
Source: RNAcentral
GGGGGAUAUUGCACAAUGGAGGAAACUCUGAUGCAGCGACGCCGCGUGAGGGAAGAAGGUCUUCGGAUUGUAAACCUCUGUCUUUGGGGACGAAUAAAAUGACGGUACCCAAGGAGGAAGCCACGGCUAACUACGUGCCAGCAGCCGCGGUAAUACGUAGGUGGCAAGCGUUGUCCGGAUUUACUGGGUGUAAAGGGUGCGUAGGCGGGUUAUCAAGUUGGAUGUGAAAUCUCCGUGCUUAACGCGGAGGCUGCGUUCAAAACUGGUAAUCUUGAGUGAGGUAGAGGCAGGCGGAAUUCCCGGUGUAGCGGUGAAAUGCGUAGAGAUCGGGAGGAACACCAGUGGCGAAGGCGGCCUGCUGGGCCUUAACUGACGCUGAUGCACGAAAGCAUGGGGAGCAAAC